GUCAGACGAACGCGGCGGCGUGCUAAUACAUGCAAGUCGAGCGGACAGAUGGGAGCUUGCUCCCUGAUGUUAGCGGCGGACGGGUGAGUAACACGUGGGUAACCUGCCUGUAAGACUGGGAUAACUCCGGGAAACCGGGGCUAAUACCGGAUGGUUGUUUGAACCGCAUGGUUCAAACAUAAAAGGUGGCUUCGGCUACCACUUACAGAUGGACCCGCGGCGCAUUAGCUAGUUGGUGAGGUAACGGCUCACCAAGGCAACGAUGCGUAGCCGACCUGAGAGGGUGAUCGGCCACACUGGGACUGAGACACGGCCCAGACUCCUACGGGAGGCAGCAGUAGGGAAUCUUCCGCAAUGGACGAAAGUCUGACGGAGCAACGCCGCGUGAGUGAUGAAGGUUUUCGGAUCGUAAAGCUCUGUUGUUAGGGAAGAACAAGUACCGUUCGAAUAGGGCGGACCUUGACGGACCAACCA
RNAcentral lists this ribosomal RNA (474 nucleotides) under Bacillus sp. PHWG-13A. RNAcentral's name for it is "bacterial SSU rRNA". It matches the Rfam family "Bacterial small subunit ribosomal RNA", at positions 28 to 493 of the family's 1533-position model. Lineage: Bacteria; Bacillati; Bacillota; Bacilli; Caryophanales; Bacillaceae. The record is from RNAcentral.